Molecule: long non-coding RNA, 1983 nt
Organism: Lagenorhynchus albirostris (white-beaked dolphin)
Lineage: Eukaryota; Metazoa; Chordata; Mammalia; Artiodactyla; Delphinidae
Exons: 3
Source: RefSeq, a predicted model, not a curated record
UUGUUUGGGUCUUCCACAUAUCUCUUACUCAAGUUUAUAUGAUGAGUAAUUUUGUACUGGAUCCUGGACAUUUUGAGUAAUAUGAGAAUCUUAUUCCUAUUUAAAUCUUCUAUUUUAUAAGGCCAACUGUUUAGGUUCAGCGGGGUUCAGGCCCACUUUUGUGGUUCAGUGUCAAUUUUCAAAGCCUCUGCGUUGCUAUUCUGGUUCACCUCCACUUGGAUGCUACCCAGAAACCAAUCUGAAACCUCAGCAGUAGUCCACCCAUAGUUCACUUUGCCAUGUUGAUUAUGGUCAGUUUCAUGCAUGGUCUGCUUGAGGGUCUGCCCAAGACUUCAUUAAUAGAUUUAAAGGAACCCUUUCUCCAGCUUCUUUCUCUCUGUAAUCCUCCCUCAACCUCUAGUUGGGAUGGUUAAGAUGCUGCCUCUUUGCAGCUGGUCACUCAGUACAGGGCAGGGAUGGUCCACAGGGCUCCUCCCCACAGUCUUGGCCACAUCUAGUGAGUAUGGGGAUGGGUGUUCACUUGGAAUGGGGCAGGUAUAAUCAAAUGGAUUUUUUCAUACAGGUCACCCUUUUCCCAUCCUUUGGCUUAUGAGAGCAGGCUUUUUGUUUUCUUCAUCUGUACCCAUUGAUGUUUUCAGGUUUUAGGUUUUUCUUGCACCCAAACCAGGAAAGUAAAAAGGUGGCAAAAGAAAAACCCCAGGAAACUUCCAGGUCAUUCCUCAAGUUCCAAAGUGCCUACCCAGGCUAUCACCUUUUUUCCACCUUUCAGAGCCUUUUGAUAGUUGCUUUAUAUAUUUUGUCCAGGGUUUUUGGUUAUAUUUAGUAGCAGGAAUGAGGUGAAAUGUAUUUACUCCAUCUUGUGUGGUACUCAGAGUCCUCCAAGUAGCCUUUCAAAAAUGGAUAAAAUACUAUAAACAAAGCAGACAUACUUUCAUCAGUCACCCUGCCCAUUCCCCUCCCCCUCCCAAGAAAUUAUGAGUUCAGUGUUGCCUUUUCUGUUUAUACUUAGGUAUUCAUAAACAAAAUAUAGUAUUUCAAAUGUUAAAAUCUGCGAAUUUUAUUUCAUUGGACUUUAUGCUUUAAGAUAGUCUUCUCUUUUAAUAGGUAAACUUAGUCUCUUUAUGUGUGUUUUACUGGAAUGUUUAUUCCUAUCAUUGCAGUUUGUUUAUUGUUACGGAGGAGGCAGGAGUAAUUCUUACUUUUCCUCCAUAUUCUCAUAAUUGAAGAGGAUUUGAUCCUCGCCGCCCCACCCCUGCCACACACACACACUGGACUGAAAGGAGCGAGCCUAGCAGGCCAGACAGGCAGAAGCACAGGUGGCAUCGGCUCUAGGACAGUCUGCUCCGGUCAUAGAGGGAUUUUCCUCUCAAAAUGAAUGGGUAUGUGAUGCCCGGGUAUGCAGUAGCCAUCUUAGGACCGUGAGGAUGAAGACUGUAUGCAAAGGAGGCAGAACAGGAAAACUGAAGACUACCCCUCGGCUUCUUAUCUCUGGACUUACUGUUAAAUGAGAAAAAAUGAGCUGCUGUUUAAUUAAAAUGCUGUGGUGGUUUUUCAGUUAUAAGCAGCCAAACACAAUUCUAGCAGAAAGGGCUAAAGUGGCAUUCACUGCUGACUGAGACAUACAAACUGUUUCUUUAGCCAAAGACACAACUAAUAAUGUAACGGUUCUACUGGGUUGGGUAUUCUCAUUACCCUUCAAACUCCUCUGAAACUAGGGUACAUGGGAGUUAACAUUGGAAAGUGGACCAAGAAGGCAUUCUUCAAAUUGCAAUGCUUUUAUUAGAAUAUUAUUAAUUGCAGAUUUUUAAAAAACUACACACAUGGAAAAAGGAGAACACUCAGAAAUACUAUUACAGAUUAGGCAAAUUAGUAGGAGGAAAAAGAUUUCUUCAGUGUAUACAAAAUGUAAACAUUUGCCCUGGGAUUUCCCACAGAUGGCACAGUCCACAAGGACUUAUUUGGAAUAAAAAUAUGUCUAUCGGA